GACGAACGCUGGCGGCGUGCUUAACACAUGCAAGUCGAACGGAAAGGCCCUGCUUGCAGGGUGCUCGAGUGGCGAACGGGUGAGUAACACGUGGGUGAUCUGCCCCUUACUUUGGGAUAAGCCUGGGAAACUGGGUCUAAUACUGGAUAGGACCAUGCUGUAGGUGGUGUGGUGGAAAGAUUUUUUCGGUAAGGGAUGAGCUCGCGGCCUAUCAGCUUGUUGGUGGGGUAAUGGCCUACCAAGGCGUCGACGGGUAGCCGGCCUGAGAGGGUGGACGGCCACAUUGGGACUGAGAUACGGCCCAGACUCCUACGGGAGGCAGCAGUGGGGAAUAUUGCACAAUGGGCGCAAGCCUGAUGCAGCGACGCCGCGUGGGGGAUGACGGCCUUCGGGUUGUAAACGCCUUUCAGCCAUGACGAAGCCGCUGUUGGGGUGACGGUAGUGGGAGAAGAAGCACCGGCUAACUACGUG
This 471-nucleotide ribosomal RNA is filed under the name uncultured bacterium. Its description in RNAcentral is "partial 16S ribosomal RNA". It matches the Rfam family "Bacterial small subunit ribosomal RNA", at positions 28 to 507 of the family's 1533-position model. The record is from RNAcentral.